ACUCAAAUGAAUUGACGGGGGCCCGCACAAGCGGCGGAGCAUGUGGCUUAAUUCGAAGCGACGCGAAGAACCUUACCUGGGUUUGACAUGCAGGGAAAAGCCGUAGAGAUACGGUGUCCUUCGGGGCCCUGCACAGGUGGUGCAUGGCUGUCGUCAGCUCGUGUCGUGAGAUGUUGGGUUAAGUCCCGCAACGAGCGCAACCCUUGUCCUGUGUUGCCAGCGGAUCAUGCCGGGGACUCGCAGGAGACUGCCGGGGUCAACUCGGAGGAAGGUGGGGACGACGUCAAGUCAUCAUGCCCCUUACGUCCAGGGCUGCACACAUGCUACAAUGGCCGGUACAGAGGGAUGCGAUUUCGCGAGAAUGAGCGAAUCCCAAAAAACCGGUCUCAGUUCGGAUCGCAGUCUGCAACUCGACUGCGUGAAGUCGGAGUCGCUAGUAAUCCCGGAUCAGCAACGCCGGGGUGAAUACGUUCCCGGGCCUUGCACACACCGCCCGU
Molecule: ribosomal RNA, 497 nt
Filed under: uncultured bacterium
Lineage: Bacteria
Description: partial 16S ribosomal RNA
Rfam family: Bacterial small subunit ribosomal RNA
Source: RNAcentral